Saccostrea echinata is the source of this 883-nucleotide long non-coding RNA. RefSeq lists it as uncharacterized. NCBI's taxonomy places the organism in Eukaryota, Metazoa, Mollusca, Bivalvia, Ostreida, Ostreidae. The record is from RefSeq and is a predicted model, not a curated record. The transcript has 6 exons.
AUAUCUACAUAUGUAGAUUAGAAACUUUCGGUCGGGUUCAGUUUAAUUUUGAUCGGGUUAGUUAAUACAUUGUUGAGUCUUUUGAUCAGCAUGGACAUGGUUUGAUGUGUGUUCGGUACCACAUAACAUGCGAGAAUACCUUCUCCGGUAUGUUGGAGAGAAGAUUAGCAAGAAAAAAUCGCGUGAGAAAAUGAGAAGUUGACAGAAAAAGAUUUUUUUCAUUAUCGAAAGGGACAUGUACAACAUCCAUAAUGGUGUGUCUGAUGGAAUUUGUCAUUUCAUUAAUAAAUAAUGCUGAUAAAGAUGCAAACUUAGCAAUUGUGCCUAAAAAGUGACAGCUUUGACAAGGAAAUAUAUCCAUAUAUAACAGUUACUGGUACUGUCUGAAUGCAGUGAAAGGAUCCAGAUGAACAGAUGAAGAGAUUAAGUACAAUGUACAUCAAUUACUUGGAUGAAGAGAAUCUGCAACAUGGGGAAAUAAUGUUCCUAUAGAAAAGUCAAAGAAUGUAUACAUGUGAGAUUCUGAAGUAGCCGUACAUGAUGAGUAGGAAUUUGAAGUGAAUUAUGGGAAAAGUGAAAUGGUAAAAAAGAAACUGCUAGCGCUACUGUGCAGACUACCAUCAAUCAACAUGAUCAACAAAAUCAAGUAAUCCUUCUGAAGAUGGAGUAGUACACAAGCACAAUUUUUUAAAGAAAGAAAAGUCAAUGGAAUGAAAGCCAAAGAAAAGGUGAAGUGAAUUGUCACUCAUUAUAUUUUAAAUUUAAUGUGGACAUGGUCAUUAUUUUAGUUAUGUCAUAACCUUCUUAUCAAUUUUAAGCAGUGCAGACAGAUGCAUUUCUUAUUGCUUUGAAUAGAAUAAAUUAUCAAAAAAGUUUGUAUAUG